UGGGGAAUCUUGGGCAAUGGGCGAAAGCCUGACCCAGCCAUGCCGCGUGGAGGAAGACACCCCUAUGGGGCGUAAACCCCUUUUGUGCAGGAAGAAGGCCUCAGUCACCGAGGUUUGACGGUACUGCACGAAUAAGCACCGGCUAACUCCGCGCCAGCAGCCGCGGUAAUACGGAGGAUGCAAGCGUUGUCCGGAAUCACUGGGUGUAAAGGGUGUGUAGGCGGGAUUGUAAGUCAGAGGUGAAAUCUUGCGGCUCAACCGUAAAAUUGCCUUUGAUACUGCAGUUCUUGAGUCCCGGAGAGGUUGUUGGAAUUCGUGGUGUAGCGGUGAAAUGCGUAGAUAUCACGAGGAACACCAGAGGCGAAAGCGAACAACUGGACGGGUACUGACGCUAGGCACGAAAGCGUGGGGAGCAAACAGGAUUAGACACCCUGGUAGUCCACGCUGUAAACGAUGAAUGCUCGGUGCUGCCUCCCUUUGAGGGGGCAGCGCUUAAGCUAACGCGUUAAGCAUUCCACUUGGGGAGUACGCUCGCAAGAGUG
This 542-nucleotide ribosomal RNA is filed under the name uncultured bacterium. RNAcentral describes it as "bacterial SSU rRNA". It matches the Rfam family "Bacterial small subunit ribosomal RNA", at positions 355 to 896 of the family's 1533-position model. The record is from RNAcentral.